UACAGAGGGUGCAAGCGUUGUUCGGAAUUAUUGGGCGUAAAGCGCGUGUAGGCGGCCUAUUAAGUCGGGUGUGAAAGCCCUCAGCUCAACUGAGGAAGUGCGCCCGAAACUAACUGGCUUGAGUGACGGAGAGGAUGGCGGAAUUCCCCAAGUAGAGGUGAAAUUCGUAGAUAUGGGGAGGAACACCGGUGGCGAAGGCGGCCAUCUGGACGUCAACUGACGCUGAGACGCGAAAGCGUGGGUAGCAAACAGG
This 253-nucleotide ribosomal RNA is filed under the name uncultured bacterium. Its description in RNAcentral is "partial 16S ribosomal RNA". It matches the Rfam family "Bacterial small subunit ribosomal RNA", at positions 524 to 776 of the family's 1533-position model. The record is from RNAcentral.